GGAAGGAUCAUUACUGAGUUAGGGUCUCUCCAGGCCCGACCUCCCAACCCUUGUGUCUAUCUAACCUAUCGUUGCUUCGGUGGGACGGAUCUGUCCUCUGGGGACGGACCCGCCGGAAGGGUGAACAACCACCCUUUGGGAGAGCUUCCCACCGAUGGCCCACAACAAACUCUUGUACCAAAAAACCUGUCGUCUAAAGUAUUGAUAAUUCAAUCAAAAACAAAACUUUCAACAACGGAUCUCUUGGUUCUGGCAUCGAUGAAGAACGCAGCGAAAUGCGAUAAGUAAUGCGAAUUGCAGAAUUUCCGUGAGUCAUCGAAUCUUUGAACGCACAUUGCGCCCUUUGGUAUUCCGAAGGGCAUGCCUGUUCGAGCGUCAUUAUCACAGCUCAAACCCCUGGGUUUGGUGUUGGACCGCAUGUUGGGUCGACCAACUGGUCUCAAAGACAAUGACGGCGUCCGUGGGACCCUCAGUGCAACGAGCUUUUACAAGCACGCAUUGAGUUGCAAGGACCCUCCGGGCCGGUCUACUAUUACAUUUUUCUGAAAGUUGACCUCGGAUCAGGUAGGAAUACCCGCUGAACUUAAGCAUAUCAAUAAGCGGAGGAAAAGAAACCAACAGGGAUUGCCUUAGUAACGGCGAGUGAAGCGGCAACAGCUCAAAUUUGAAAUCUGGCCUUAUGGUCCGAGUUGUAAUUUGUAGAGGAUGUUUUGGGCACCGCCACGGUUUAAAUUUCUUGGAACAGAAUGUCAAAGAGGGUGAGAGUCCCGUCUUGGAUCGUGGUAGGGCCUAUGUAAAACUCCUUCGACGAGUCGACUUGUUUGGGAAUGCAGGUCAAAAUGGGUGGUAAAUUUCAUCUAAAGCUAAAUAUUGGCCAGAGACCGAUAGCGCACAAGUAGAGUGAUCGAAAGAUGAAAAGCACUUUGAAAAGAGAGUUAAACAGUAUGUGAAAUUGUUGAAAGGGAAGCGCUGGCAACCAGACUCGAGCACGGUGUUCCCCCUGGCUUUUGUCAGGGUUAUUUCACCGCGUCCGGGCCAUCAUCAGUUUGGAGGGUCGGUUAAAGGCUUGGGGAAUGUAUUCACGCCUUCGGGGGUGGACUUAUAGCCCCAGGUGUCAUGCGACCUCUCCGGACUGAGGAACGCGCUUCGGCGAGGAUGAUGGCGUAAUGGUUGUCAGCGACCCGUCUUGAAACACGGACCAAGGAGUCUAACAUCUAUGCGAGUGUUCGGGUGUCAAACCCUUGCGCGGAAUGAAAGUGAACGGAGGUAGGAAGGCUUAAGCCUGCACUAUCGACCGAUCCUGAUGUCUUCGGAUGGAUUUGAGUAAGAGCAUAGCUGUUGGGACCCGAAAGAUGGUGAACUAUGCGUGAAUAGGGUGAAGCCAGAGGAAACUCUGGUGGAGGCUCGCAGCGGUUCUGACGUGCAAAUCGAUCGUCAAAUUUGCGUAUAGGGGCGAAAGACUAAUCGAACCAUCUGGUAGCUGGUUCCUGC
This 1491-nucleotide unclassified non-coding RNA is filed under the name uncultured fungus. Its description in RNAcentral is "sequence contains 18S rRNA gene, ITS1, 5.8S rRNA gene, ITS2, 28S rRNA gene". The stretch from base 551 to 1491 matches the Rfam family "Eukaryotic large subunit ribosomal RNA", at positions 1 to 961 of the family's 3401-position model. The record is from RNAcentral. Lineage: Eukaryota; Fungi.